CGUAGAGCAGCCCGCGGGCCCGCCGCAGCAGCGGCUGCACGCAGUCGUCCACCUCUCCGCUCAGCGCCAAGAUCAACUUGAAUCUCCUUCGUAUUUGCAAACAUGUCCAGACAGCUCCUUCAACAUUAAAAGAAACCAAAACUCCUUACAACAAACCUUUAAAAACAUCUCUACGGCAGUAAGGACUCUUCACGUUGUCUCAGCUGGACCUCAGAUUUACCAAGGAUCUCUGCUGGGGAAAUCAAAUGGAGUGCCAUCCUGCCGAAGCACGUUGGGUCUCUUGUCAUCAGCUAAAGAUCAAGGUGCUGCAUUCAGCUCAUUAGUUUUGGAAGUGAAACAGGAAUACAUGAACGCUGCUGCGGCCUUUUCAUGGUGCUGAGCUGGCUCCACAGUGAGGAAUCCCACGGACAGGAGUGGAGGCAGUGUGACUGACUCCUGCCAGCAGUGAAUGCAGCUCCCUCCCUCACUGCUUCUGUGCUCUGCACUGGUCAGGAACUGGCUCCUCCUGGUUUGUGCCUGGGGUAAGAGGCUCAGGGAGCAUCCUGACAUCAGUGUGACCAUGAUUUCACCAGGCUCACUUACUGCAAGGCUGUCAUCAUCGGAAGCCUCUGCUCCUGGAAACAGAAUUCUCUGUUUGAGAUGAAUAAUAGGUCGAAUAUGGUAUGUGGCAGCUCUGUAGACGCCGAAGAUACAACAUGAACAAAUACAUUGCUCUGGAAAGGUGGCAUAAGAACGUUGCUGAGGAUUUAGGAGUGUCUCCACUACCAGACAGAUGAGUUUGGCAGGGCAAGAUGCCUCAUCAUAUGUCUUAGCAGAACCAGACCUUCCGUAGCGGCAGAGAUCUGUGGGCUGUGAAGACUGGAGAUUGCAACAGGGAUGCUUCUGUGUCCAGGGGUCCUGACCAGAGGGGACGGCUCUGCUUAUCCAGUCUGACCUCCUGCCAAAGCCCUGCUGGAGCAGGGCAAGCAGCUGCCCAGGAGGAUCUGCAGGAGGAAGAGCUGGAAGAGAAGGGGUCAGUGGUUCCCUGAGUGCACCUUAGAUAUUCAAAAGCCCAGCAGGUGCAAUGAGCAAUGUGAUGGGGAUGUCUCACCUGAUGAUUCUUUCGCUAUCAGCCAGCAAAUAUUAGACUGUAAGUAGCAAAAACGUGUAAAUGACUGGAAAAAAAAUCUGCCUGUGUCACUGCAUGAAAGGCAGAUGAAGAGGGAUGAAGACUGAGUGUCAGCGCAGCUGAUAAGGCAGGGGAAGAAUGCAGGAGAGAAGCUGAGUAAAGCAAGAGAGAUGGGAGCCCAGGGCUGGGGCAGCACGUGUUCAUGUAGCAGAGGAAAGUGCAUGUGGCACCAACAUGGUCAUUGCUGGUUGCACAGACAGACGUUGCAGAAGGCCGGGCAGUUUUGCAGACUGGUGUGUACAAGGCAGUGCAGGCAGUGAUGUGUACAAGGUGGAGGCUGAGGGCAGAGCUGGAAUCCGGGAGCAAUGCUGUGGGAAGGAAGAGUGGCAGUACUGGACCCCUGUGGCAAUGAGGAGCAGUGGGAGGACAGAGACCACUGCAGGGAAGUGCUCCAUGGUGCAGGAGGAGCAGCUCAGUUUUUCUUAUGUCCAGCUUGGAGGGAAAUUAAACCAGUUACUCCCUUCUCUUUGGUUGCCUUUUGGGACAUUUCGGGGCACCACUCUGGAGAUGACUGGUGUGGAUCUCUGGCGGGCAGAGCUGCAUGGAGCUUCGCUGGUAUCACUUGCACCACACAAGGACUGGCACAAGCACCUUCUACUUUCAUUACUAUAGUGCUGAGACUGGUGGAGAUUUUCCUGCUGAGGGAGUGAGCACUGGAGUCCCAGGGAAUGACUGGUACCUGUUCUGGAGAGCUGGAAGAGCAGGGCAGCCACUUCCCUGCAUGCAGUACAAGCAGUGUCACACAUGGUGCUGUGCUGCCUCAACACCACAAGACACUGGCCUGUAUUUCCACCUUACCCUGGCUCUUGCCAGUGCUAUUAUUCCUUUGGUUUCAUAGGCAGUAAAUUCACUCACAAAUUUUAUAUAUAUAUAAAAAAGACAUACUGUCAUAAAAUCAGCUAGCUGAGCAUUCCCCAAUGAAAAUGAAAUGCUGCUGCUCCUUAGAAGAAGUGCUGGUUCUGGAUCAUUUGUCUAUUCAAUAUUUGGCAAAGUCUAACUGCAGCCCUGGUGUCCUCUCACUGCUCAGCCCUUUCCCGUCCCUGGAUGCAGCCUUGUUCCUGCACCUACGGAGGCAAAGCAUCCGUGCUAGAGGUCUGUGCUGCCAGUUAUUGAUUGAUUUUUCUUGCUGCUGGAGCUGGGCAAUUUGAAUUUGUGCUGGUGGACGUGUCUGGCUUUGCAGGGCAGAGCUGUGCGGUGCUUCAUCAAAGCGGGGAGUGUGCAGAGCCAGCUCAGCAUGGGGCAGGGCAGCAGCGUUCUCCUUGUCCAUUGGGAUGUGGGCUGCACAGCAGGAUCCCACCAGCAACCCUGUCAUCUCAACUGGGGUCCACAGAGCAGCAGAGGCUCUUCUCGGGGAACCUGGAAGCUGUGACUGCUGCUGGAGGUCCCGCGAGGCGCCUGGGUGCAGCUUUUGCUCCUGGACCCCAUUGCCAGGGACAGUGGCGCACUGCAUGGUGUGGGUGACUGGUACCAUCACUCUCCUCACGGUCUGACUUUCAUGCUGGUGUGUCUUCAGAGAUAAAAUGCUUUGAUUCUACCCAAACUUUUGACGGGUUCUUGUACACAGCUGGGAAGGGGCAGCUCAGAGAAGCUUUCUUUGGCCUAGUCUCCAUCAUUCUCUUGUUCCUGAUGCAGGGCUGAUGGUAGGGAAGUGGGACUCUGCUGGCAGUCCCGGCUCACACAGCUGUCUGGCCGUCUGAUGAUGCAGCCCGAAGGGAAACCAGGAGCCAAAUGGCAGCUUGAGGAUGAGGUAGGUGCCUCCUGGAAGUGCUUGAUGGAAGCUCCUGCUGCCUGAGUGAGCGGUGAACCUGGGCUGGCUGUGAACAGGAGCUGGUGCGCAGCCCACAUCCCUGCCACAGCUCUCCCAGCGCUCCCUCAUGGACUGUGCUGAUUUCGAUGGGCAUGAAACACAGCUCAAGGCUUAUUAUACUCCUAGAAAGAAUGAAGCUUUGAAAGAUCCCCCCGAACCAAAUCCAAACUGCAGAAUGGUCGACUCUUGUCAGUGUUAAUGCCACUGAAUGGCUGCUGGCAAGGACAAAAUGAAUGGGCUUUGCAAGUUCAGCUCUUGGCCUUUUUGAGGCACCUUGGCUGAUGUGCCAGCAGGAGGAGGAAUGUUAUAGCUGAGCCUGGAACAUUUUGCAGAGGCAUUUCUCUUGGCAGGUUUAUGAUCUUUUCUGCCUCAGCUGGGAAGCCAGCAGGACUGAAUAAAUCUCCAGGCCAACAAAAACUCAGGAUGUUUUCACAAUUGCCAGGAUUUUAUUAAUUUACAAGUACAUUGAUGAAUUUAUUCCUUCCUAACAACAGCUUUCACUUAGAUGGGGAGUCCUACAGUGUGUUUGGGUGUGCACGGUAGGCAAAGCUAGUAACACUCUGCAAGGAAGUCACCUGCCAAAUAGUUGUGGCAUUGAUGCCAGUGAAGUGCAGAUGUGAGAGGACGGAUUUGGUGCUCUCAUCUGCCAGGUCCUGCAGCUCUGCAGAAGGGGUCUGCCUGCCCCGUGCCCGGGAGGACCGCGCGCUGGGGGCUGCCCCACACCACCCAGCUCGUGGUGCUCGAGGCUUGCGCAGUCUGCAAGUUCCACCAACACUUGGUGCAAAAAGAAGCUCUUACUUCAUCCUGUAGGUGUCUGCUCUGUGCACGGGAGACUGUUCAACCCCUCCAGGUAACAGUAAUGGGAAAUAGCUCCAAGUGAUUAGAAAAUUAAAACAGGUUAAUAAUUUCCAAAAAGAGAAAAGAAGAAUUAAAAUGUACAUUUUAAAUAUGAUCAAUAAUUUAUCAGACAAUUUUCAUUCAACAAUGAGGAAUUAGGAUGCUUCAAACCCUCCAAAAUGUUAUCGGCAAGGGAAAUAAUUUAAAUUUUCAAUUUUCCUUCCUGUGGGCUGUGCCGGGGCAGGAGCCCCCAUGGCAGCCCUGUCCCUGUGCCCCUGCACGCUGCUCCGUGGCGCUGGGAGCGCGGUGCCUGCUGCUGCUGCCGGGGAUGGUCCUGUGAGAGCUCCAGACAUGUGCUGGCCCACCCGUGUGCUGCUGGGCACCUCCUGGCCCGGGAAGGGGUCUGAGGGGUCUGUCCCGCCGCCCACCCAGCCCCAGUCUCUAAUCAACCCUUAGGGAAUACAGCCAAGUUGGACAUGAAAGAGCAUCAAGCUGGAGUUCAUCGUCCAUGCCAUGAAAAAGCCUGCCUACCAUAAACAACAGAAGGCGCAUGGGAGCUGCUGUGAGAAAUCCUUCAUCAUCUGUGGAAACAUGCCUAGUUUUACAGAAAAAACAAAUACAGUGAGUUGAAAAUAAAUGGCAUUAUUAGCAGAAAGAGAGGCUCUAAUUAACCAGAUAUAGUCCAUUACUGUAGCCUUCAAUUCAUUAAAUUGUAUAAUUACAUAAAACCACUGUUGAUGUGCUAUUCAGUAUAGCUGGUAUUGUCUUCCUAAUAAUUAGCUCUAUAAUUGUCAGUUUGACAGGGUAAUUAAAAAUGUUUAAAGAUGUUGUGUCAGCCUUUUCUCCUUUGCUGAGCUCAGUUGGAUGUCUCUGGAAGAUGAUUUUCUACCUGACUCGACCAUGGUUUUGUUUUUGAUUUAUACCGGUGUGCUACAGGAAUGACCAGACUCAUGGAUUACUUUGAUGUUCCUGCUAGGCUGAUGUUUAAAAGUAGGAGAAAAAUAACUCCUGAUGUCAUUUUCAUUUACUUUCAGGAAAUCUGUGGUCCCAUCCCCUGGUUCAUGCUACUGAUGCUGUGACUUUCUUCUCAGCAGUUUUAUGGACAGAGCAUUGUGAGAUCUGACAUUUGUAGCCCUUAAUCUCGGUUCUGUUUGCUGUGUAAAACCUUUCACCCCACAUGCAUUUUUCAUGGAUGGAUUUCAGGAGCAGGAGCAGAGCCCGUGGCUCCAAGAGGCCCUGUGCAGGGCACAGGGUGACGGUGGUGAGGUGCUGCAGGGAAGCACCAGCCCGGCGGGUCUGUGUGCACUGGAGGGGUGCAGGCAGCGCGUGCCCUGGACACGGUGCUGGGGAGCAGGACCUGAGCCUGGAUGUGCUGGGGAGCCUGGGAGCAGUCGGCUAUCAGCUGGAGACAGCCUGGGAGCAGCGCACCCGAGCCCUGGGCUGGGAGCGUGCUGUGAAGGAAGCGGUUUAUAGAGCCCUUUAUGGCAAUCACUCUUGGUUCUGUUGCUUGAGGGCACUGAUUGCCACUUUGGAUGGUCCAAACCCUGACUUAUUUCCCUUUUCAACAAAAUAAACCUCAAAUAGUCAUUGCUGAGAAGUCAUAAAUAAAUCUGUCCUCACACCCAGGAGCUUUGCCAGCUGGGUUUUGGCUGGAUGGGAGUCUGUUUGUGAAAGCUUUCAAGGGUUUUUGAAAAUAAUCUGUUUUGAAUCAUUAAACAAACAAAGUGAUCUGGUCUUCUGGAAUAAACAGUAAUCACUUGGAAGUGAAA
This is a long non-coding RNA of Strigops habroptila (Kakapo), 5581 nucleotides long. RefSeq lists it as uncharacterized. The record is from RefSeq and is a predicted model, not a curated record. The transcript has 8 exons. Lineage: Eukaryota; Metazoa; Chordata; Aves; Psittaciformes; Psittacidae.